CGCGUAGGCGGGGUUGUGGGUCGAUCGUGAAAUCCACCGGCUCAACCGGUGAACUGCGGUCGAAACUACAACUCUUGAGCUCGGUAGAGGAAGGCGGAAUUCCUGGUGUAGCGGUGGAAUGCGUAGAUAUCAGGAAGAACACCGGUAGCGAAGGCGGCCUUCUGGGCCGGAGCUGACGCUGAGGCGCGAAAGCCGGGGGAGCGAACAGGAUUAGAUACCCUGGUAGUCC
RNAcentral lists this ribosomal RNA (229 nucleotides) under uncultured bacterium. RNAcentral's name for it is "partial 16S ribosomal RNA". It matches the Rfam family "Bacterial small subunit ribosomal RNA", at positions 568 to 796 of the family's 1533-position model. The record is from RNAcentral.